AUGGACUCCAUUAAAUUCCUUAUCACACUGCUGCUGGUCUGUCUUCUAAUCUAUGAAUCCUAUGUGGAUGCAGCAUCGGAAGAACAAGAUUUCUCAAGAACUUGUUUAUCUCACCGCUGCAGCAAACAUGGACCUGAGAUCCGGUUCCCGUUCCGGCUUUCGAUCAACCCACCAUCAUGUGGUGCACCAGGUAUGCAGUUAUCAUGCUCUGGGCAUGACACAAUCCUGGAUCACCAUGUUCUUGGCCCUUGCAGAGUGACUGAGAUCUAUUACAGGCACCGUGUCAUCAACGUCGUCCCGUUAGUGGAACCAUCAAUGCAAUGCCCACUUCAGAAGCUCAUCUCAAGAAACUUAGCAAAUGAUGUCUACGAACAACCUCAAUCAUCAUUUCCUACAACCCUAGUACGUUGUUCAAAAGAUUUCAUACCAAUAGAUCAAGAUAGUUGGCCCAGCCUCUUGUCUGGGCAACAACGCUAG
RNAcentral lists this ribosomal RNA (477 nucleotides) under Triticum aestivum (bread wheat). RNAcentral describes it as "partial small subunit ribosomal RNA". Lineage: Eukaryota; Viridiplantae; Streptophyta; Magnoliopsida; Poales; Poaceae. The record is from RNAcentral.